UAUACAGCGAAACUGCGAAUGGCUCAUUAUAUAAGUUAUCGUUUAUUUGAUAGUACCUUACUACUUGGAUAACCGUGGUAAUUCUAGAGCUAAUACAUGCUAAAAAUCCCGACUUCGGAAGGGAUGUAUUUAUUAGAUUAAAAACCAAUGCCCUCUGGGCUCCUUGGUGAUUCAUGAUAACUUCUCGAAUCGCAUGGCCUUGCGCCGGCGAUGGUUCAUUCAAAUUUCUUCCCUAUCAACUUUCGAUGUUUGGGUAGUGGCCAAACAUGGUUGCAACGGGUAACGGAGGGUUAGGGCUCGACCCCGGAGAAGGAGCCUGAGAAACGGCUACUACAUCCAAGGAAGGCAGCAGGCGCGCAAAUUACCCAAUCCCGACUCGGGGAGGUAGUGACAAUAAAUACUGAUACAGGGCUCUUUUGGGUCUUGUAAUUGGAAUGAGUACAAUUUAAAUCCCUUAACGAGGAACAAUUGGAGGGCAAGUCUGGUGCCAGCAGCCGCGGUAAUUCCAGCUCCAAUAGCGUAUAUUAAAGUUGUUGUGGUUAAAAAGCUCGUAGUUGAACCUUGGGCCUGGCUGGCCGGUCCGCCUCACCGCGUGUACUGGUCCGGCCGGGCCUUUCCCUCUGUGGAACCCCAUGCCCUUCACUGGGUGUGGCGGGGAAACAGGACUUUUACUUUGAAAAAAUUAGAGUGCUCCAGGCAGGCCUAUGCUCGAAUACAUUAGCAUGGAAUAAUAGAAUAGGACGUGCGGUUCUAUUUUGUUGGUUUCUAGGACCGCCGUAAUGAUUAAUAGGGACAGUCGGGGGCAUCAGUAUUCAAUUGUCAGAGGUGAAAUUCUUGGAUUUAUUGAAGACUAACUACUGCGAAAGCAUUUGCCAAGGAUGUUUUCAUUAAUCAGGAACGAAAGUUAGGGGAUCGAAGACGAUCAGAUACCGUCGUAGUCUUAACCAUAAACUAUGCCGACUAGGGAUCGGACGAUGUUAUUUUUUGACUCGUUCGGCACCUUACGAGAAAUCAAAGUGCUUGGGCUCC
Molecule: ribosomal RNA, 1029 nt
Filed under: Parasarcopodium ceratocaryi
Lineage: Eukaryota; Fungi; Ascomycota; Sordariomycetes; Hypocreales; Stachybotryaceae
Description: SSU rRNA
Rfam family: Eukaryotic small subunit ribosomal RNA
Source: RNAcentral